Molecule: ribosomal RNA, 441 nt
Filed under: uncultured bacterium
Lineage: Bacteria
Description: partial 16S ribosomal RNA
Rfam family: Bacterial small subunit ribosomal RNA
Source: RNAcentral
CCUACGGGUGGCUGCAGUAGGGAAUAUUGCUCAAUGGGGGAAACCCUGAAGCAGCAACGCCGCGUGGAGGAUGAAGGUUUUAGGAUUGUAAACUCCUUUUGUGAGAGAAGAUAAUGACGGUAUCUCACGAAUAAGCACCGGCUAACUCCGUGCCAGCAGCCGCGGUAAUACGGAGGGUGCAAGCGUUACUCGGAAUCACUGGGCGUAAAGAGUGCGCAGGCGGGCUUGUAAAGUCAGGUGUUAAAGGCGCAGGCUCAACCUGUGUAUGGCACUUGAUACUUGCAAGCUGGAAUGCGGUAGAGGUAAAGGGAAUUCCUGGUGUAGCGGUGAAAUGCUUAGAUAUCAGGAGGAACAUCGGUGGCGUAAGCGCUUUACUGGGCCGUAAUUGACGCUGAGGAACGAAAGCCAGGGUAGCAAAUGGGAUUAGAUACCCGAGUAGUC